AGUUUGAUCCUGGCUCAGGACGAACGCUGGCGGCGUGCCUAACACAUGCAAGUCGAGCGAGGAACUUCGGUUCCUAGCGGCGGACGGGUGAGUAACACGUGGGUAACCUGCCUCAUAGAGGGGGAUAGCCUCCCGAAAGGGAGAUUAAUACCGCAUAAUAAGUAGCUAUCGCAUGAUGGCAACUUUAAAGGAGCAAUCCGCUAUGAGAUGGACCCGCGGCGCAUUAGCUAGUUGGUGAGGUAACGGCUCACCAAGGCCACGAUGCGUAGCCGACCUGAGAGGGUGAUCGGCCACAUUGGAACUGAGACACGGUCCAGACUCCUACGGGAGGCAGCAGUGGGGAAUAUUGCACAAUGGGCGAAAGCCUGAUGCAGCAACGCCGCGUGGAGGAUGAAGGCCUUCGGGUUGUAAACUCUUGUCUUCUGGGACGAUAAUGACGGUACCAGAGGAGGAAGCCACGGCUAACUACGUGCCAGCAGCCGCGGUAAUACGUAGGUGGCGAGCGUUGUCCGGAUUUACUGGGCGUAAAGGAUGCGUAGGCGGAUAUUUAAGUGGGAUGUGAAAUACCCGGGCUUAACCUGGGUGCUGCAUUCCAAAC
This 598-nucleotide ribosomal RNA is filed under the name uncultured bacterium. Its description in RNAcentral is "bacterial SSU rRNA". It matches the Rfam family "Bacterial small subunit ribosomal RNA", at positions 10 to 633 of the family's 1533-position model. The record is from RNAcentral.